This 19-nucleotide non-coding RNA is filed under the name Rattus norvegicus (Norway rat). Lineage: Eukaryota; Metazoa; Chordata; Mammalia; Rodentia; Muridae. The record is from RNAcentral.
UGUAAUAGGAUGGUGUAAU